Molecule: long non-coding RNA, 2020 nt
Organism: Cercocebus atys (sooty mangabey)
Lineage: Eukaryota; Metazoa; Chordata; Mammalia; Primates; Cercopithecidae
Exons: 3
Source: RefSeq, a predicted model, not a curated record
UGGGGCUCAAAUGUAACAUUUAGCGUUGUCAGCAGGAUAAAGUCAGUGGAUCUUCAGUCCCCGAGGCUCCUGGGCAGGCUAUGUGGCCGCAGCACGAUGGGCUGUGGUACCCAGUGGCAGCGGUACUGCUGGGAUAGGCCCCAGUGAAACAUGGGAGGUAGUGGGCGGGUCUCCUGUGAGUGUGGAGAAAGCACUAAAGCAGCUGGAAGAACACCGUGCUGAGAAGAAAUGCAAUGCACCUUUGCCGGCGGAGUUGGAUGGGCAUUUCUGACUGCACUGCGGGAAGUACAUGCUCAGUUCCUGCGGGAUGCUGCACAGGUAAAGGACCUCUACAUGCAAGCCACAUGCCCGGGGGCCCAAAUGCACAGCUUGGAGCAAAACUUGGAGACUCAGCUUUGAAGUAGACCUUCCUCCCGCUGCCGCUCUGUUUCUGCCCAUAUAAUGAAGGCUUACCACUUUCUGUAAGCUUUGUCUGCAUGACCUCAUCCAGCUGGGAGAUCCCCCUGCCAGGCCAGCAAAUGACCAAUCCCAUCAUCCCUUCUGAGGACAGCACCCUGGGAAGUCACAUGCUGAGGUACUAGGGGUGAGGACUUCAACGUGCGAAUUUUGAGAGAAUGCUAUUCAGCCACAGAUGAUAAUUGGGUGAGUUUCAGCCUUUUUAAAAUUCAUUCAAGUACAGUCGGUUCUGCUAUAAUGAGAAAUGUGUGUUCUGAAGCCUUACUAUUCUCUGAAAACUUGGCACAAUAAAAGCUACAGGGCUUAUGAGGAAAGUAGGGUUGAGACACAACACUCGAAUACUUUAUCAGUAACACAUACAAAAAGAGAUAGGAACCUAGCAAAAAUGGCACAACAGUUCUACACAUUUUAUAUGUUUGAAAACAUGUAAAUACUACAAUAAAUGUGACAUUUUAUAUUGAGAAAGACCUGAAAGCAUUUGUGGAAAUGGGUAUGGGAAAAGCUGCAGCUUGGGAAUUAUUGUGAAGUGGUAAAAGAUUUAUCUGAAACAAGAUUUAUAUGAAAGGGAAAGUUAUGACACCAAAUUUGGUAGAGGCUGACUCAUAAUGCAUACAGAGAAUUAAGAUAGCUGGUAGGAGUGUGAGAUGUAUACAUUUUGCAUAUUCCAAUAUCACUUGCUUCUUUUAAGUAUGGUUUUCUAUGUUCACCUAGUGUUUCUCAAGGACAAAAUUGCCCAUACACAAGAGUGAAAUUUAUGCAAUACUUAAAUUGUCAGUUACAGCAGAACUGACUCUACAUGAACAUAAUUAAAUCAAACAUCCAUAAUAUGUAAAGUGCCCUGCUGAGUUUGGAUGAGAGAAGGAAGUAUAAAACACAGCCUCUGCCCUCAAGGGGCUCACACUCUGCUAAAAAAUAGCAAUCCGACUCCACCAUAUAACACAAUGCUUUAGGAACUUCUACUAUUCCUGUAUAGUUGAAACAAAGUUUGAUUGUGGUUGGGGGAUGUGAACUUAGGUAAAGCAUCCAGGAAAUAAUGGGGAGAAAUCUACAAUAUGCAUUUGUAUUUCAGUUCUGCCACUUUUUUGCUUUGUAAUUUUGGAUAUGCUGCUUUGGUGCUCUGUUCCUCACUCUCCUUGUCUAUAGAAUCAGGUCAUAACAUUAUCACCUACUUUUUUAGAAAUAUGUGAGGAGUAAAAGGAACUACACUAUCUAAAAUGAGUAAAACAAUGCCUGACACAUAAUAAGCAUUCUAGUUAGUGCUCAUUGUAACUACUAUCAGUGUCAUUACUUCUAUCAGUGCUAGAUUUAUUAUUAUUUUCAUGGAUGAGCUGGAAUAUCACAUAAAUAUUGACAUUCUACCUAGAAGCAGUAGGAAACCAGCAUAAGAAUUUAAGCAGGGAAGUCAAAGCAUAAUAUUUUUAUAACAAAGCUUUGACAGUGCGUUGAAAUAUGGUUUGAGGACAGGUAAAAGAGGAAGCAAGUGUAUCUCCUUGCUAAAUUAAAGUGAAGAUUGAGAGUGGACAGUUACAGGAAGAUGAAGAUAAAGGAGGCCGGGUGCGGUGGC